Molecule: transfer RNA, 75 nt
Filed under: Danionella translucida
Lineage: Eukaryota; Metazoa; Chordata; Actinopteri; Cypriniformes; Danionidae
Also listed under: 1 other name
Rfam family: tRNA
About the family: Transfer RNA (tRNA) molecules are approximately 80 nucleotides in length. Their secondary structure includes four short double-helical elements and three loops (D, anti-codon, and T loops). Further hydrogen bonds mediate the characteristic L-shaped molecular structure. tRNAs have two regions of fundamental functional importance: the anti-codon, which is responsible for specific mRNA codon recognition, and the 3' end, to which the tRNAs corresponding amino acid is attached (by aminoacyl-tRNA synthetases). tRNAs cope with the degeneracy of the genetic code in two manners: having more than one tRNA (with a specific anti-codon) for a particular amino acid; and 'wobble' base-pairing, i.e. permitting non-standard base-pairing at the 3rd anti-codon position.
Source: Rfam by way of RNAcentral
GUCUCUAUGGCGCAAUCGAUUUAUCGCGUACGGCUGUUAACUGAAAGGUUGGUGGUUCAAGCCCACCCAGGGAUG